AGCGGAAGUGACUCUAGUAAGGGUGGAAGUAGGGCGACCUGCGUCAGUGCUGGGGUUCUGACCUCGCUGGGCCGCCGCCCCCUUUGGGCUGCCGCCCCCUUUGGGCUUCCACCAUGGAACUCAGCGCCGAGUACCUCCGGGAGAAGCUGCAGCGGGACCUGGAGGCAGAUCACGUGGAAGUGGAGGACACGACUCCCAACCGUUGCGCGUCCAGCUUCCGAGUUCUGGUGGUGUCCGCCAAGUUCGAGGGCAAGCCGCUGCUUCAAAGACACCGGUCCUGAGGACUACAACCUAGGGACACCUCCAGUCUCCCGGGUCAACGUAGCUUCGGGGACUGUGACUUCAGGCGCCUGCCAUUUCCUAACCCCAUCUCUCCCCCAGGCUGGUGAACGCGUGCCUAGCAGAAGAGCUUCCGCAUAUCCAUGCCUUUGAACAGAAAACCCUGACCCCAGAACAGUGGGCCUGUGAGCAGCAGAAAUAAGGGACCAGGACCUGCACAGCCAUUAAAUUAUGAAUCAGGG
Phyllostomus discolor (pale spear-nosed bat) is the source of this 521-nucleotide RNA transcript. It is a transcript of the gene named bolA family member 2B, with no coding region annotated. Lineage: Eukaryota; Metazoa; Chordata; Mammalia; Chiroptera; Phyllostomidae. The transcript is spliced from 3 exons. The record is from RefSeq and is a predicted model, not a curated record.